GAUGAACGCUGGCGGCGUGCCUAAUACAUGCAAGUCGAGCGAACAGACGAGGAGCUUGCUCCUCUGACGUUAGCGGCGGACGGGUGAGUAACACGUGGAUAACCUACCUAUAAGACUGGGAUAACUUCGGGAAACCGGAGCUAAUACCGGAUAAUAUAUUGAACCGCAUGGUUCAAUAGUGAAAGACGGUUUUGCUGUCACUUAUAGAUGGAUCCGCGCUGCAUUAGCUAGUUGGUAAGGUAACGGCUUACCAAGGCAACGAUGCGUAGCCGACCUGAGAGGGGGAUCGGCCACACUGGAAAUGAGAAACGGGCCAGACUCCUACGGGAGGCAGCAGUAGGGAAUAUUCCGCAAUGGGCGAAAGCCUGAAGGAGCAAAGCCGCGGGAGUGAUGAAGGUUUUUGGAUCGUAAAAAUCUGUUAUUAGGGAAGAAAAAAUGUGUAAGUAACUGUGCACAUCUUGACGGUACCCAAUCAGAAAGCCAAGGCUAACUAAGGG
Molecule: ribosomal RNA, 497 nt
Filed under: uncultured bacterium
Lineage: Bacteria
Description: partial 16S ribosomal RNA
Rfam family: Bacterial small subunit ribosomal RNA
Source: RNAcentral